UUGAACGCUGGCGGCAUGCCUUACACAUGCAAGUCGAACGGCAGCACGGGGGCAACCCUGGUGGCGAGUGGCGAACGGGUGAGUAAUACAUCGGAACGUGCCCUGUCGUGGGGGAUAGCACGGCGAAAGCCGUAUUAAUACCGCAUACGACCUACGGGUGAAAGCGGGGGAUCGCAAGACCUCGCGCUAUUGGAGCGGCCGAUGUCAGAUUAGGUUGUUGGUGAGGUAAAGGCUCACCAAGCCGACGAUCCGUAGCUGGUCUGAGAGGACGACCAGCCACACUGGGACUGAGACACGGUCCAGACUCCUACGGGAGGCAGCAGUGGGGAAUUUUGGACAAUGGGGGCAACCCUGAUCCAGCCAUGCCGCGUGCGGGAAGAAGGCCUUCGGGUUGUAAAGCGCUUUUGUCAGGGAAGAAAUCUCGUGGGUUAAUAC
RNAcentral lists this ribosomal RNA (435 nucleotides) under uncultured bacterium. RNAcentral describes it as "bacterial SSU rRNA". It matches the Rfam family "Bacterial small subunit ribosomal RNA", at positions 30 to 465 of the family's 1533-position model. The record is from RNAcentral.